CGGUGCCAUGCUAGGAUUAAGGGUGUGAGUUCUGCCCACUCCAAGGGACAGUAGCCUGGGGUAGAUAAAGAGGGCAGAAAGCUCUUCUUGGGGUUGGUCGCUUGUGGCAUAUUGUUGCUGCCAUUUGUCUUCUGUUCGAGACGCUCUCUGCCGUGUACCACCCUGCCUUGGAGCCAGCCGAUUAUGGACUGAAACCUCUACACACUGUUCUUGGCUACCUGAAGGAAGACUUGGAUGUGAAUGAAGAAUUUAUAUGAUCUUGUUAGCUCUGUUGUGUCCUUAUAUAUGCAAUGAUACUCUUGAUGAAGACAUUUCUACAGUUCCAUGUUACUGCAGGAAAAUGGGUAUAUGGUUUGCUGUGUACUCAAGUGUUGGAACAGUAUUCAGUGAUGAAAAGAAAAGAACAACUGAGGCACACAAAAACCUGGACGAAUCACAAAAGCUUUGUGCUAAGUGGAAGAAGUUAGACACAAACAACUGUAUAUGUUGAAACCCCACCACCACCACAAAAUGGGGAGAGAGAAAAGAGUUGAAGGAGUAGUACGACUUCUACAGAAGGUAAUACCAACGAGAAAGAAGCUGAUGUCCCUGCAGACCUAGAGAAAGACUCAGGAAUCGGAGACCCACAAUACUUUGAAAGACGGUCAAAGAAAGGGGCAAAACACAGUGGUUUCAUUGGAAAUCUGUUUUAAGAGAAGUUAGAUACCCAGUGCUUCACCCCUCCCACACAACCGGGCCACUUUUCUUCCUCUUCCACUACGAACUGUGAGAGGUAAU
This is a non-coding RNA of Heterocephalus glaber (naked mole-rat), 777 nucleotides long. NCBI's taxonomy places the organism in Eukaryota, Metazoa, Chordata, Mammalia, Rodentia, Bathyergidae. The record is from RefSeq and is a predicted model, not a curated record.